GGUCUCGUGGCCAAAUGGACAAGACGUCUGACUACGAAUCAGAAGAUUGCAGGUUCGACUCCUGCCGAGGUCG
Molecule: non-coding RNA, 73 nt
Organism: Xenia sp. Carnegie-2017
Lineage: Eukaryota; Metazoa; Cnidaria; Anthozoa; Malacalcyonacea; Xeniidae
Source: the annotation of a RefSeq genome assembly